Molecule: RNA transcript, 1469 nt
Organism: Egretta garzetta (little egret)
Lineage: Eukaryota; Metazoa; Chordata; Aves; Pelecaniformes; Ardeidae
Gene: HM13
Gene name: histocompatibility minor 13
Exons: 12
Source: RefSeq, a predicted model, not a curated record
CUCCUCGGAGAUGCCGGAGACCAUUACCAGCCGAGACGCUGCUCGUUUUCCCAUUGUUGCCAGUUGCACCCUUCUGGGGCUCUACCUCUUCUUUAAAAUAUUCUCUCAAGAGUACAUCAAUCUUCUGCUUUCCAUGUAUUUCUUUGUGCUGGGGAUCCUGGCCCUGUCCCACACCAUCAGCCCCACGAUGAACAGAUUCUUCCCUGCAAAUUUCCCCAACAAACAGUACCAGCUCCUCUUCACCCAGGGCUCUGGGGAGAGCAAGGAGGAAAUAGUGAAUUACGAGUUUGACACCAAGGAUCUCGUAUGCCUGGCCCUGAGCAGUGUUGUGGGGGUCUGGUACCUGCUGAGAAAGCACUGGAUUGCCAACAAUCUCUUCGGGCUGGCGUUCUCCCUCAACGGGGUGGAGCUGCUGCACUUGAACAACGUCAGCACUGGCUGUAUCUUGCUUGGGGGCCUCUUCAUCUACGACGUCUUCUGGGUCUUUGGCACCAAUGUGAUGGUGACGGUUGCCAAAUCGUUUGAGGCCCCCAUAAAACUGGUUUUCCCUCAGGACCUGCUGGAGAAGGGACUGGAGGCCGACAACUUUGCCAUGCUGGGUCUGGGAGACAUUGUCAUUCCGGGCAUCUUCAUUGCCUUGCUGCUGCGGUUUGACAUCAGCUUGAAGAAGAACACACACAUGUAUUUUUACACCAGCUUUGUGGCUUACAUCUUCGGGCUGGGCCUGACCAUAUUCAUCAUGCACAUCUUCAAGCACGCCCAGCCUGCUCUUCUGUACCUGGUCCCUGCAUGCAUCGGAUUCCCGCUUCUUGUGGCCUUGGCAAAGGGAGAAGUAACUGAAAUGUUCAGCUACGAGGAGAGCUCUACCCCCAAGGAGGUGCCGGGGGCCUCCAAAGAAGAGACGACAGAAGCUGCCAAGAAGAAGAAGUGACCUUGCCCGCGGGCGGUGCCCGGUGCCGCCGGGCUGGGGCCCUUCCAGACCCUCUGCAAGUGACAGACGACGAAACAAUUGUGCAAGAGCAUCGUGUUGUGUGUGUCGGAGCAGCCGCCCAGGAAGGAGUGCUGGUCUGGCCUCGGCCGCUGCUCCGGUUGCAGCUCCCGCUCAGUCGCCUGGCCGGCACCGGGAUCAGCGUCCCGGCUCUCCGGCAGCCUUGUUCUCCCUGUGGGGCCCGGGGCUGCUCUCUGGCUGUUUCCAAGUGACCGUCCCCUUCCCCCUCCUGCUCCUCCGGUGCUCAGCCUUCCCCUGGCUGGCCUCAGCCUGGGCCCCUCCUCUGCAAGACCCAGAUUUAGGGCUGUGGUUGCUGACCCCCAGCCCGUCCCCAGGUGGGUUUGGGCCAGGGUCUGGCCCUGGAGCAGGGUGGGUGAGCAGGGAUCGGGGCACAGGAACCCGGGGGGAUGGGGACAAGCUCUGCCUUGGCUGCUGGGGCCUCAGCGAGCUGGGGCUGAGCACCCACGGCCUGGGGGAGCGG